GAUGAACGCUGGCGGCGUGCCUAAUACAUGCAAGUCGAGCGAACAGACGAGGCUCUUGCUCCUCUGACGUUUGCGGCGGACGGGUGUGUCACACGUGGAUAACCUACCUAUAUGUCUGGGAUAUCUUCGGGAAACCGGAUCUUAUACCGGAUAAUAUCUUGAACCGCAUGGUUCAAUAGUGAAUGUCGGUUUUGCUGUCUCUUAUAGAUGCUUCCGCGCCGCAUUAGCUAGUUGGUAAGGUAACGGCUUAGCAAGGCAACGAUGCGUAGCCGACCGGAGAGGGUGAUCGGCGACACUGGAACUGAGACAGGGACCAUACGCCUACGGGAGGGAGCAGAAGGGAAUGUGCCGCAAUGGGCGAAAGCCUGACGGAGCAAGGCCGCGUGAGAGAUGAAGGUGUUCGGAGCGUAAAACUCUGUUAUGAGGGAAGAACAAAUGUGGAAGGAACUAUGCACGUAUUGACGGUACCUAAUCAGAAAGCAACGGCUAACUACGUG
This 497-nucleotide ribosomal RNA is filed under the name uncultured bacterium. Its description in RNAcentral is "partial 16S ribosomal RNA". It matches the Rfam family "Bacterial small subunit ribosomal RNA", at positions 28 to 507 of the family's 1533-position model. The record is from RNAcentral.